AUUCCAGCUCCAAUAGCGUAUAUUAAAGUUGUUGUGGUUAAAAAGCUCGUAGUUGGAUCUCGGCGGUCUGAGGGCGGUUCGCUUCAGAGCGCUACUGCCCUAUAGACCGUAGUUUUGCCAGAGGUCUCAGGGUGCUCUUAACCGAGUGUCUUGCGAUGCUGGCAGGUUUACUUUGAAAAAAUUAGAGUGCUCAAAGCAGGCUUUUACGCCUGAAUAUUCGUGCAUGGAAUAAUAGAAUAGGAAGUCGUUUCUAUUUUGUUGGUUUUCGGAAAUCGACUUAAUGAUUAAUAGGGACAGUCGGGGGCAUUUGUAUUCAAACGACAGAGGUGAAAUUCUUGGACCGUUUGAAGACAAACUACUGCGAAAGCAUUUGCCAAGAAUGUUUUCAUUG
Molecule: ribosomal RNA, 391 nt
Filed under: Pseudocalanus sp.
Lineage: Eukaryota; Metazoa; Arthropoda; Copepoda; Calanoida; Clausocalanidae
Description: partial small subunit ribosomal RNA
Rfam family: Eukaryotic small subunit ribosomal RNA
Source: RNAcentral